Molecule: transfer RNA, 77 nt
Filed under: Clostridiales bacterium
Lineage: Bacteria; Bacillati; Bacillota; Clostridia; Eubacteriales
Description: tRNA-Arg
Rfam family: tRNA
About the family: Transfer RNA (tRNA) molecules are approximately 80 nucleotides in length. Their secondary structure includes four short double-helical elements and three loops (D, anti-codon, and T loops). Further hydrogen bonds mediate the characteristic L-shaped molecular structure. tRNAs have two regions of fundamental functional importance: the anti-codon, which is responsible for specific mRNA codon recognition, and the 3' end, to which the tRNAs corresponding amino acid is attached (by aminoacyl-tRNA synthetases). tRNAs cope with the degeneracy of the genetic code in two manners: having more than one tRNA (with a specific anti-codon) for a particular amino acid; and 'wobble' base-pairing, i.e. permitting non-standard base-pairing at the 3rd anti-codon position.
Source: RNAcentral
GUUCGUAUAGCUCAGUAGGAUAGAGCGGUCGCCUCCUAAGCGACAGGCCGUUGGUUCGAAUCCAAUUACGAACGCCA